UGGGGAAUAUUGGACAAUGGGGGCAACCCUGAUCCAGCCAUGCCGCGUGUGUGAAGAAGGCCUUUUGGUUGUAAAGCACUUUAAGCAGGGAGGAGAGGCUAAUGGUUAAUACCCAUUAGAUUAGACGUUACCUGCAGAAUAAGCACCGGCUAACUCUGUGCCAGCAGCCGCGGUAAUACAGAGGGUGCGAGCGUUAAUCGGAAUUACUGGGCGUAAAGCGAGUGUAGGUGGCUCAUUAAGUCACAUGUGAAAUCCCCGGGCUUAACCUGGGAACUGCAUGUGAUACUGGUGGUGCUAGAAUAUGUGAGAGGGAAGUAGAAUUCCCAGGUGUAGCGGUGAAAUGCGUAGAGAUCUGGAGGAAUACCGAUGGCGAAGGCAGCUUCCUGGCAUAAUAUUGACACUGAGAUUCGAAAGCGUGGGUAGCAAAACAGGAUUAGAUACCCUGGUAGUCCACGCCGUAAACGAUGUCUACUAGCCGUUGGGGUCCUUGAGACUUUAGUGGCGCAGUUAACGCGAUAAGUAGACCGCCUGGGGAGUACGGCCGCAAGGUUAAAAACUUAAAGGAAUUGACGGGGUCUAGCUG
This 583-nucleotide ribosomal RNA is filed under the name uncultured bacterium. Its description in RNAcentral is "partial 16S ribosomal RNA". It matches the Rfam family "Bacterial small subunit ribosomal RNA", at positions 355 to 926 of the family's 1533-position model. The record is from RNAcentral.